ACGGGUGAGUAACGCGUGGGAAUCUACCCAUCUCUACGGAAUAACGCAUGGAAACGUGUGCUAAUACCGUAUACGUCCUUCGGGAGAAAGAUUUAUCGGAGAUGGAUGAGCCCGCGUUGGAUUAGCUAGUUGGUGGGGUAAAGGCCUACCAAGGCGACGAUCCAUAGCUGGUCUGAGAGGAUGAUCAGCCACACUGGGACUGAGACACGGCCCAGACUCCUACGGGAGGCAGCAGUGGGGAAUAUUGGACAAUGGGCGCAAGCCUGAUCCAGCCAUGCCGCGUGAGUGAUGAAGGCCCUAGGGUUGUAAAGCUCUUUCACCGGUGAAGAUAAUGACGGUGACCGGAGAAGAAGCCCCGGCUAACUUCGUGCCAGCAGCCGCGGUAAUACGAAGGGGGCUAGCGUUGUUCGGAUUUACUGGGCGUAAAGCGCACGUAGGCGGACUAUUAAGUCAGGGGUGAAAUCCCGGGGCUCAACCCCGGAACUGCCUUUGAUACUGGUAGUCUUGAGUUCGAGAGAGGUGAGUGGAAUUCCGAGUGUAGAGGUGAAAUUCGUAGA
This 557-nucleotide ribosomal RNA is filed under the name uncultured bacterium. RNAcentral's name for it is "bacterial SSU rRNA". It matches the Rfam family "Bacterial small subunit ribosomal RNA", at positions 102 to 694 of the family's 1533-position model. The record is from RNAcentral.